Molecule: ribosomal RNA, 496 nt
Filed under: uncultured bacterium
Lineage: Bacteria
Description: partial 16S ribosomal RNA
Rfam family: Bacterial small subunit ribosomal RNA
Source: RNAcentral
AUGAACGCUGGCGGCGUGCCUAAUACAUGCAAGUCGAGCGAACAGACGAGGAGCUUGCUCCUCUGACGUUAGCGGCGGACGGGUGAGUAACACGUGGAUAACCUACCUAUAAGACUGGGAUAACUUCGGGAAACCGGAGCUAAUACCGGAUAAUAUAUUGAACCGCAUGGUUCAAUAGUGAAAGACGGUUUUGCUGCCACUUAUAGAUGGAUCCGCGCCGCAUUAGCUAGUUGGUAAGGUAACGGCUUACCAAGGCAACGAUGCGUAGCCGACCUGAGAGGGUGAUCGGCCACACUGGAACUGAGACACGGUCCAGACUCCUACGGGAGGCAGCAGUAGGGAAUCUUCCGCAAUGGGCGAAAGCCUGACGGAGCAACGCCGCGUGAGUGAUGAAGGUCUUCGGAUCGUAAAACUCUGUUAUUAGGGAAGAACAAAUGUGUAAGUAACUAUGGACGUCUUGACGGUACCUAAUCAGAAAGCCACGGCUAACUACGUG